UUGGUUAAAGCCAAAGCAGAGGCAUAUCACUGUUAAUGAUAAAAGUGGAAUAUACUCCUAACCAAG
Molecule: transfer RNA, 66 nt
Filed under: Sicyonia parajaponica
Lineage: Eukaryota; Metazoa; Arthropoda; Malacostraca; Decapoda; Sicyoniidae
Description: tRNA-Asn
Source: RNAcentral